UACAGAGGGUGCGAGCGUUAAUCGGAAUUACUGGGCGUAAAGCGUGCGCAGGCGGUUUUGUAAGCCAGAUGUGAAAUCCCCGGGCUUAACCUGGGAAUGGCAUUUGGGACUGCAAGGCUCGAGUGCGGCAGAGGAGACUGGAAUUCCUGGUGUAGCAGUGAAAUGCGUAGAUAUCUGGAGGAACACCGGUGGCGAAGGCGGCGUUCUGGACUGCAACUGACACUGAGGAACGAAAGCCAGGGGAGCAAACGGG
RNAcentral lists this ribosomal RNA (253 nucleotides) under uncultured bacterium. RNAcentral's name for it is "partial 16S ribosomal RNA". It matches the Rfam family "Bacterial small subunit ribosomal RNA", at positions 524 to 776 of the family's 1533-position model. The record is from RNAcentral.